GAUGAACGCUGGCGGCGUGCCUAACACAUGCAAGUCGAACGGAAAGGCCCUGCUUGCGUGGGGUGCCCGAGGGGCGAACGGGGGAGUAACACGUGAGUAACCGGAUCUUGAUUUUGGGAUAACUUCAGGAAAGUGGGGCUAAUACCGGAUAGGAGCUCCUGCAGCAUGGUGGGCGUUGGAAAGUUUCGGCGGGUGGGGAUGGACUCGCGGCUUACCAGCUUGUUGGUGGGGUAGUUGCAGACCAAGGCAUGGACGGGUAGGCGGCCUGAGAGGGUGACCGGCCACAUUGGGACUGAGAUACGGCCCAGACUCCUACGGGAGGCAGCAGUGGGGAAUAUUGCACAGUGGGCGGAAGCCUGAUGCAGCAACGCCGCGUGCGGGAUGACGGCCUUCGGGUUGUAAACCGCUUUCGCCUGUGACGAAGCGUGAGUGACGGUAAUGGGUAAAGAAGCACCGGCUAACUACGUG
This 468-nucleotide ribosomal RNA is filed under the name uncultured bacterium. RNAcentral describes it as "partial 16S ribosomal RNA". It matches the Rfam family "Bacterial small subunit ribosomal RNA", at positions 28 to 507 of the family's 1533-position model. The record is from RNAcentral.